This 29-nucleotide non-coding RNA is filed under the name Rattus norvegicus (Norway rat). The record is from RNAcentral. Lineage: Eukaryota; Metazoa; Chordata; Mammalia; Rodentia; Muridae.
UGGGCAUACGGUUUCUGUACUUCUGUUCA